GAUGAACGCUGGCGGCGUGCCUCAAACAUGCAAGUCGAGCGAGGCUAUGAGUUACCGCAAGGUAAGGCAUAGCCUAGCGGCGAACGGGUGAGUAACACGUGGGUAACCUACCUGGAAGACAGGGAUAACGAUUCGAAAGGGUCGCUAAUACCUGAUAAUAUCCAUCUGCCGGAUGGCGGAGGGAAGAAAGGGGAAACCCGCUUUCAGAUGGGCCCGCGUCCCAUCAGCUAGUUGGUAAGGUAAAGGCUUACCAAGGCGACGACGGGUAGCCGGUCUGAGAGGAUGUACGGCCACACUGGGACUGAGAUACGGCCCAGACUCCUACGGGAGGCAGCAGUUGGGAAUCUUAGGCAAUGGACGAAAGUCUGACCUAGCGACGCCGCGUGAGGGAAGAAGGCCUUCGGGUUGUAAACCGUCUGUCAUGGGGAAGAAGGAAGUGACGGUACCCCAAGAGGAAGCCCUGCUAACUACGUG
Molecule: ribosomal RNA, 474 nt
Filed under: uncultured bacterium
Lineage: Bacteria
Description: bacterial SSU rRNA
Rfam family: Bacterial small subunit ribosomal RNA
Source: RNAcentral